Molecule: ribosomal RNA, 232 nt
Filed under: uncultured bacterium
Lineage: Bacteria
Description: partial 16S ribosomal RNA
Rfam family: Bacterial small subunit ribosomal RNA
Source: RNAcentral
UACGGAGGAUGCAAGCGUUAUCCGGAAUGAUUGGGCGUAAAGCGUCCGCAGGUGGCUAUGUAAGUCUGCUGUUAAAGAGUCUGGCUCAACCAGAUAAAGGCAGUGGAAACUACAUGGCUAGAGUGCGUUCGGGGCAGAGGGAAUUCCUGGUGUAGCGGUGAAAUGCGUAGAGAUCAGGAAGAACACCGGUGGCGAAGGCGGCUUUCUGGACAAAUACCGACGCUGAGGCACG